This 433-nucleotide unclassified non-coding RNA is filed under the name soil metagenome. Its description in RNAcentral is "partial contains 5.8S ribosomal RNA, internal transcribed spacer 2, and large subunit ribosomal RNA". The stretch from base 1 to 120 matches the Rfam family "5.8S ribosomal RNA", at positions 35 to 154 of the family's 154-position model. The record is from RNAcentral.
GAUGAAGAACGUAGCGAAAUGCGAUACGUAAUGUGAAUUGCAGAAUUCAGUGAAUCAUCGAAUCUUUGAACGCAUAUUGCGCUCUCUGGUAUUCCGGAGAGCAUCCUUGUUUGAGUAUCAGUAAACACCUCAACUUCCAUAUCUUUUUUGAAAUGGGAGUUGGACUUGAGUGAUCCCAACGCUUUUCCUCACCGAAAAGUGGCGGGUUACUUGAAAUGCAGGUGCAGCUGGACUUUUCUCUGAGCUAUAAGCAUAUCUAUUUAGUCUGCCUAAAAAACAGAUUAUUACCUUUGCUGCAGCUAACAUAAAGGAGAUUAGUUCUUGUGCUGACUGAUGCAGGAUUCACAAAGACAGGCUUCGGCCGACUUUGUAAACUCGAUCUCAAAUCAAGUAAGACUACCCGCUGAACUUAAGCAUAUCAAUAAGCGGAGGA